GACGAACGCUGGCGGCGUGCUUAACACAUGCAAGUCGAACGAUGAAGCCUAGCUUGCUAGGUGGAUUAGUGGCGAACGGGUGAGUAAUACGUGAGUAACCUACCUUUAACUCUGGGAUAAGCCCGGGAAACUGGGUCUAAUACCGGAUACGACCAAUCUCCGCAUGGGGUGUUGGUGGAAAGCGUUAUGUAGUGGUUAUAGAUGGGCUCACGGCCUAUCAGCUUGUUGGUGAGGUAACGGCUCACCAAGGCGACGACGGGUAGCCGGCCUGAGAGGGUGACCGGCCACACUGGGACUGAGACACGGCCCAGACUCCUACGGGAGGCAGCAGUGGGGAAUAUUGCACAAUGGGCGCAAGCCUGAUGCAGCGACGCCGCGUGAGGGAUGACGGCCUUCGGGUUGUAAACCUCUGUUAGCAGGGAAGAAGAGAGAUUGACGGUACCUGCAGAGAAAGCGCAGGAUAACUACGU
This 470-nucleotide ribosomal RNA is filed under the name uncultured bacterium. RNAcentral's name for it is "partial 16S ribosomal RNA". It matches the Rfam family "Bacterial small subunit ribosomal RNA", at positions 28 to 506 of the family's 1533-position model. The record is from RNAcentral.